Molecule: RNA transcript, 14121 nt
Organism: Columba livia (rock pigeon)
Lineage: Eukaryota; Metazoa; Chordata; Aves; Columbiformes; Columbidae
Gene: DNAH10
Gene name: dynein axonemal heavy chain 10
Exons: 78
Source: RefSeq, a predicted model, not a curated record
CGACCUUCUGAGGCGAACGGGCGGGCGGUGGCGAUCGCUCCUCCCCGGGUCGUUGCCGUGGCCACCGGGAGGCGUCGGGUCGAUGCUCGGCGGCUGCCGCCAUGAGCCGGGACGAUGUGCGAGUGCAGUGGUUGCGGGACAGGGUGCUCGCCGCCCUGGGGCUGACCGAUCCGGCGCCUUUCGAGGAGCUGCUGCAGCGCGGCCAUGGCGAGGGGGCACGGGCUGUGCUGCGCUUUUUGGAGCGCGGCGCCCCGGACGGGGACGGGGAGAGUGAGGCGGACACGGCGCUGCUGCUGCUGCGGGCCGAGCGGCGCGGAGAAGACGGCGAGAAGGCAGCGGGGAUGACCCAGAGUGUGUCAGGUCAUGGAUCAACUCUCCCUAGUGGGUCUGAAUUGAGUAAAGUGGAGGAAACGGUUACAAGUGACAGUAUGGAACACACACUGCAGCUACAAGAACAGAAAGCUGACAAAGUGUGUUUCUACGUGGCUCUUGAUGAAAUUCCUGAAGAAUUUGUGUCAGAUUUUACUGUGUAUUUUCUCAGAGAUGCCAAAGAAAGAGUUACUGAACCUAAGGACUUGACUGAAGCUAAUGAGAUUCUUCCUAAACUGAUAAAGUUUGGUCCGCUGACUGAUGAUACUCUUCUGAUGCUAAAGAAUGCUAUCUCACAGGUGUUUUCACCAGCUGUCUCAUAUAGUCAGCAGCAGACUGAGGAAACUUCUGUCCAUCUAGAUAGUGACGACACAGAUUCUGAAAAUGGAAAUUUACCCAAGACUGAGCUUGUAGAAGAGAAAGAACAACCUGUGGAAUGUGGUGAUAAUCAGAUAGGGAAUGAGCCUCAGCAGUCUGCACAACCAGCUGAAGGAGAUGUUAAACUGGAGAUGCCAACUGUAAAUCUAGAUGGAGAAGUGACUGUUCUUGCCACAGUUCCAGAAGUGGUUGAAGCUCUGGAAUAUUGUGCGAUGACCUGGCAGAAAUUAAUAUCCACAGCUCUAGAAGAAGAGCUGAAAAAGGUUCCACAGGGUAAUGGUCCACUUGCAGAAAUUGAUCUCUGGCGUGAAAGAAAUUAUGCUUUAAGUGCUCUUACUGAACAGACAAAGCUUCCAGAUGUGCAAAAAGUCUUGGAAAUACUACAGGAAGCUGAAUCUGACUAUAUUGGAGAUUUACAGAUGGUCUUGAGUGAUCUCAGAAAACAUCAUGUGGAAGCUCUAGAUAACACUAUGUUUCUUUCGACUCUUGAACGCCAUUUUAAGAGUUUAACAUAUGGCACUGAGCUGCAUGUUGUCUUGGAUACAAUUCCUUCCCUGAUGAGUGCCUUGAGGAUGAUAUGGAUUAUCUCUCGGCAUUACAACAAGGAUGAACGGAUGGUGCCCCUCAUGGAACGGAUUGCAUGGCAAAUUGCAGCAAGAGUGAGCAAAGCUGUGGAUUUACGCACGCUGUUUAAAGAAGAUAGCGCUGCUGCAAAAGCGAAAAUAGUAGAUGCCAAAACUACUCUUGAAGAAUGGAGGAAAUGUUAUUUUGCUGUUCGUGCCCAAAUUGAAGCAUCGGGAAGAGAGCAACACUGGGAAUUUGACCGAAAACGUUUGUUUGAAAAAACAGAUUAUAUGACUUCAGUCUGUCAAGAUCUGUAUGAUAUUUUGCAGGUCAUUGAAGAGUUUUACAAUCUAUUCGGUUCAGAACUGACAGCGAUCACAGGGGAUCCAAUGCGUAUUAACGAUCUAACGAGAGCAGUAAAUGGACUAGUUAGUCCCAUGGAACAACUGACUUUUGACCCUUUUAACAUCGAAUGUGCUCGUGACUGGAAAUCAGUUAUGGAAGUAUUUAAAGAAGAAGUUUCAGUUAUUGAAGAAGAGACCAAAACUCUUAUUGAUGAAUCUUUUAAGACCCCUCGAUCAGCAGAAGCUGCAUUUGACAUGCUGUUAAACUUCAGACACAUCCGCUCUCGUGAAGCCAUUAAUAAGCAGAUAACAAUGAAGUUCAAUGAUAUUUUGGACCAAUACUGUAAAGAGGUUGAAAGUGUCAAGCAAAUCUUUGUUCAGAACCUCAAGGAUCCACCUUUGUACAAGAAUCAUCCUCCAGUGGCUGGAGCAAUAUACUGGUCCCGAUCCCUUUUCUAUCGGAUCAAACACACUAUUGUUCGAUUUCAAGAAGCAGAGGAGUUGCUUGCUAGUGAACGUGGAAAGGAAGUGAAACAAAUAUAUCUUCAAGUGGCGAAGAGGAUGAAAGAGUAUGAAGAUGAAAAAUAUAAUCAGUGGAGGGAUGGGACAGAACAGAUACUCCCAACGUUAUUGAAAAAUACUCUACUAACUGUCACUGGUGGGGCUGCAGCCCGUGUUAAUCCAGAGACUUCUGAGCAGAACUCUGUAACAGGAGAGCCUGUCACCACAAAGAAAGGUGUCCACUUCAUGGUGAAUUUUUCUCCUAUGUUCCACGAGAUUAUCAUUGAAACAAAGUACAUGGAACAACUAGGGUUUCCAGUCCCAGAAAAAGCAAGAUAUAUGGCAUUACAGGAAGAUAAAUAUAGUAGGUAUACAAAUGGAUUGAAAAAAAUGCUGGAUCACUAUCACAAAUUAAUGGGAACACUGAAUGAAGCAGAAACCCAACUACUUGAUGACCAUAUUCAAAACCUCUGGAAAAUAUUCAAAUCAGGGCACAGUAGACUCAACUGGAAGUCCGUAGGUAUUGCUGACUUUAUUGUCCAAUGUACACAAGCCAUCAAGAAGUUUGAAUCACUUGUUCAUCAGAUUCGUUAUAAUUCUGGAGACAUAAGCAACAAACUUCUGUCCAUAGAAUCAACAAACCUCUUUAAGUUUCCGCUUCCAAAAAAUGGUGAUGAACUUCCUAAAGUGAAAGAAUUUUUUGAGUAUUUAAAGUGUGAGAGAGCAAAAGAUGUGGCAAACAUGGUUCAAAAGUAUACUGCCAUUCCACAAUUGCUAAUAAAAGUAGAAGGACGAGUUGCCAAUACAAACAGUGGCAGGUCUCCAAAAUUAGCUUCCUAUUAUGCAUACUGGGAAAACAGGAUUUAUCAGGUGUUGACACAGUUAAUUGUGAAGAAUUUGCAGGCUUUUAAUGCAGCUGUUCUUGCAAAUGUGCCAUUGUUCCAAGCAGAAGCUAUUUUAUCUGCUCCUGAGUUAAUCUUGCAACCUAAUGCCAGUGAGAUUGACAAAAUGACUGCACAAUGUAUCCGAGAUUGUGUUGAGGUCACUAAGCAUUUUGUACGAUGGAUGAAUGGUACGUGUAUUGAAUGCCCUCCUCAGCGUGUCAUGGAAGAUGAAGUUAUCACUUUCAGCUUUUACAACGACAUCUCCCAGAACCCUCAAAUCAUUGAACAGGCUGUUCUCAUCACUCAGAACAUCCACAAACUCCUGGCUUCUCUCAGCAAGUAUUUGAACCAAUGGAAGAGGUACCAGCUACUGUGGAAAUUAGACAAAGACGCAGUCAUAGAGAAGUUAGCUGUGGAAAAGCCUGCUUGUAUCACUUUUGAUGAGGAGUUACAGUUCUAUAUGAAGGUAGCUCAAGAAGUUACUCAACAGCCCUUAAUUAAAGAUGAGCAAUGUGUCAGGCUUCAGCUGGCUCCUUUAGCUUGCACACUGCAGGCGAGUGCUAGAGGCUGGGUGACUGCACUUGGAAAGUUGCUUAAUCAGUCUGCAAGAGAAGAACUCUUCAGGCUUCAGGAGGAGAUUCAGAGCUUGUCACAGAUUCUUAAGAGACCUCCAAAUUCCCUGGAUGAUCUGAGAAUUGUCCUUGGCACAAUUGAGGAGAUCAGAGCCAUGUCCUUCAAGGUGGAAAUGAAAUAUUUAGAUAUCUGGGAGAGAUACCGAACUCUUGCAAUGUACAAUCUUCCAGUGGCUAAAGAAGAGCAAGAGAUGGCAGACAAGAUUAAGGAAAAAUGGGAGACUCUCUUCUUGGAAGCAUUAGAAGUUGAUCACAGCCUUGGAGGCAUGAAAAGCAAAUUCAUAAAGAUUACAAAGCAACAAAUUGAGGACUACAGCAAAGAGAUAGAAGAUUUCUUCCAGAAAUUCAUAUCUGAGGGUCCUGGUGCUGUUGGGGAAGAUCUUGAUAAAGGGCUGGAGCUCAUGGCCGUUUUUGAAAAAGAAGUGGAAAAACUGGAAAAAACUCACCAGGAACUGGGUGGUACUGAGAAGCUUUUUGACUUGCCAGCUACCCUGUACCCUGACUUAAUAAAAGCACAGAAUGAUAUGAAAGCUCUAAAGCAGAUCUACGAAAUUUAUGAAUUACAAAAAGCAGCUAAAAAGGAAUGGUCUCAGACACUAUGGAUAAACCUCGAUGUCCAGGUUCUUCAGGAUGGAAUUGAAGGAUUUCUUAAAGCCCUUCGAAAGCUGCCCAAACAAGUACGCAGUAUGCCAGUAGCCUUUCACCUGGAAGCAAAAAUGAAGGCGUUUCGAGAUUCCAUUCCUUUGUUGCUUGAUUUGAAAAACGAAGCUUUAAGAGAAAGGCAUUGGCAAGAACUUAUGGAGAGAACAGGAACAAGAUUUGAAAUGACAACAGAAACUUUCACUUUGGAGAAUAUGUUUGCUAUGGAACUUCACAGACACUCAGAUGUUAUCAGUGAAAUAGUUGGAAAUGCUGUUAAGGAAAUUAACAUUGAGAAGAGUGUGAAGGAAAUAACAGAAACAUGGGAACAGCUGAAAUUCACUGUACAAACAUACUUCAAAGGCACUGUGCAGCGAGGCUUUAUUCUGGGAUCUGUAGAUGAAAUUUUAGACACCCUUGAUGACAACAAUGUCAAUCUUCAGAGUAUUUUGGGCAGUCGAUUUGUGGGUCCUUUCCGUUCAACUGUUUACCGCUGGGAAAAAACUCUGUCGUUGAUUGGUGAAGUAAUUGAGAUCUGGAUGGUGGUUCAGAGAAAAUGGAUGUAUCUGGAGAGCAUCUUUAUUGGUGGAGAUAUCAGAACACAGCUUCCAGAGGAAGCCAAAGUGUUUGACGGCAUAGACAGGAUGUUUAAAGAGAUAAUGGAUGAAACUGUAAAAGACCCAACAAUAAAAAAGUGCUGUGAAGCCCCAAAUCGUCUAUCAGACUUCCGUCAUAUAAAUGAUGUGCUGGAGAAAUGUCAGAAAAGCUUGAAUGAUUAUUUGGAUUCCAAGCGAAAUGCUUUCCCAAGAUUUUUCUUUAUAUCUGAUGAUGAGUUGCUUAGUAUCCUUGGCAGCACUAACCCCCUUUGUGUCCAGGAACACAUGAUAAAGAUGUAUGAUAACAUAGCCUCCCUGAGGUUUGAGGAUGGUGAAAACGAUGAGAAAAUCGCAACAGCCAUGAUUUCAGCUGAGGGGGAGGUGAUGGAGUUCCGGCAGGCUGUAGCUGCAAGAGGCAGAGUGGAGAGCUGGAUGACAGCAGUGCUGGAAGAAAUGAGACGAACAAACAGACUCCUUACUAAGGAAGCUAUUUUCCGAUACUGUGAAGACAGAAGCAGGGUUGAUUGGAUGUUACUCUACCAAGGCAUGAUGGUGCUGGCUGCUAAUCAGGUGUGGUGGACUUGGGAAGUAGAGGAUGUCUUUCGGAAAGUAAAGAAGGGAGAAAAACAGGCAAUGAAACUUUAUGCUAAAAAAAUGCAUAAGCAGAUCGAUGAACUGGUUACCCGCAUUACAACUCCUUUGAGCAAAAAUGACAGGAAAAAAUACAACACUGUUCUCAUUAUUGAUGUUCAUGCCAGAGACAUUGUUGAUACAUUCGUAAGAGACAGCAUCCUGCACGCUCAGGAGUUCGAAUGGGAAAGCCAGCUGCGUUUUUACUGGGACCGGGAGCCAGACGAGCUGAAUGUGCGGCAGUGCACAGGCACCUUUUCAUAUGGUUAUGAAUAUAUGGGGUUGAACGGACGUCUUGUGAUCACCCCACUUACAGAUCGUAUUUAUCUUACACUCACACAGGCUUUAUCGAUGUUUUUGGGAGGAGCGCCAGCAGGGCCAGCAGGUACAGGGAAAACAGAAACCACCAAGGAUCUGGCCAAAGCGCUGGGCUUGCUGUGCGUAGUGACAAACUGCGGAGAAGGCAUGGAUUUCAAAGCAAUUGGUAAAAUUUUCUCUGGCCUCGCCCAGUGUGGAGCAUGGGGAUGCUUUGAUGAAUUCAAUCGUAUCGAUGCUUCUGUGCUUUCCGUCAUUUCUUCUCAGAUUCAGUGUAUUCGAAACGCUUUAAUGAAUCACUUGAAAAAGUUUCAGUUUGAAGGACAAGAAAUUAGCCUUGAUAGCCGUAUGGGCAUUUUUAUUACAAUGAAUCCUGGUUAUGCUGGCCGGACUGAGCUCCCUGAGUCUGUAAAAGCUUUGUUCAGGCCUGUGGUUGUUAUUGUACCAGACCUUCAGCAAAUCUGUGAAAUCAUGCUCUUUUCUGAAGGAUUCCUUAGGGCAAAGAUGCUUGCCAAAAAGAUGACAGUGCUAUACAGGCUGGCAAGGGAACAGCUUUCUAAACAACAUCAUUACGAUUUUGGACUGCGGGCCCUUAAGUCAGUGUUGGUGAUGGCUGGAGAACUGAAAAGAGGGUCAGCAGACCUCAAUGAGGAAGUUGUACUGAUGAGAGCUCUACGGGAUAUGAAUCUUCCUAAAUUUGUGUUUGAAGAUGUACCUCUCUUCCUUGGCUUAAUCUCCGACCUGUUUCCUGGCCUGGACUGCCCUCGGGUCCGCUACCCUGACUUUAACGAUGCUGUAGAACAAGCACUGGAAGAAGAGGGUUAUAUUAUUUUACCAGUCCAGGUGGAUAAAGUAGUUCAGAUGUAUGAGACAAUGUUAACUCGUCACACUACAAUGGUGGUUGGACCUACUGGAGGUGGCAAGUCAGUUGUCAUUAAUGCUUUGUGCCACGCCCAAAACAAGUUGGGAUUACUGACAAAGCUUUACACACUGAACCCUAAAGCUAUGAGUGUGAUUGAGCUUUAUGGGAUCCUUGACCCUACCACACGAGACUGGACAGAUGGAGUCCUGUCAAACAUUUUUCGGGAGAUCAACAGGCCUACUGACAGGAAAGAGCGAAGGUACAUUCUAUUUGAUGGAGAUGUGGAUGCUCUCUGGGUUGAAAACAUGAAUUCUGUCAUGGAUGACAACAAGUUAUUGACCCUGGCAAAUGGGGAACGGAUUAGACUUCAGUCGCACUGUGCUUUGUUGUUUGAGGUUGGUGACUUACAGUAUGCAUCUCCUGCCACGGUAUCCCGCUGUGGAAUGGUCUUUGUAGAUCCUAAAAAUCUGAAAUAUAAGCCCUUCUGGCAGAAGUGGGUCCAAGGAAGAGGAAAUGAGCAAGAGAGAAAAGAAUUGGAUCGCCUCUUUCAAAAAUAUGUGCCCUACCUUAUCGAUAUGAUUGUAGAGGGAAUUGUGGACGGCAUACAUACAGGAAGGCUGAAGACCAUUGUUCCUCAAACAGAUUUAAAUAUGGUGGUGCAGUUGACUGCAAUGCUGGAAGCUACAGUUGUGGCACAGUUUGAUGAUCCUGAAGUUCUGGAGUGUUUUUUCUUGGAAGCUUUGUAUUCCUCCUUAGGUGCUGGCCUUCUUGAUGCUGGGAGAAUUAAAUUUGAUGAACAUGUUAAACGUAUUUCCUGCAUGUCUACUGUUACCGAUGAGAACGUCAUGGCUAAGCCAGGGGAGCUGCCAGGUCAGCUGCCAACUUUGUAUGACUUUCACUUUGAUGAAGUUCAAAAGAAGUGGGUACCUUGGAUGAAACUUGUUCCUGAAUAUAUUCAUAACCAUGAAGUGAAAUUUUUUGACAUUUUAGUGCCUACAGUGGAUACAACACGCACUACUUGGUUACUAGAACAGAUGGUAAAAAUAAAACACCCAGUUGUUCUUGUGGGUGAAUCUGGUACAUCUAAAACAGCAACUACACAAAACUUCCUGAAGAAUCUGGACAAAGACUUUAAUCUGUUGCUAGUAAUUAACUUCUCUUCUCGUACAUCAUCAAUGGACAUUCAGAGAAACCUAGAGACAAAUGUAGAGAAACGAACUAAAGACACUUUUGGCCCUCCUGUCGGAAAACGUCUUGUAGUUUUCAUGGAUGAUAUGAAUAUGCCAAAGGUUGAUGAGUAUGGCACACAGCAACCCAUUGCCCUGUUGAAGCUGCUGCUAGAGAAAGGUUUCAUGUACGACCGUGGUAAGGAGAUGAACUGUAAAUUUCUUCGAGACCUGGGUUUUGUUGCUGCCAUGGGGAAAGCUGGAGGAGGUCGGAAUGAAGUUGACCCUCGAUUCAUCUCACUCUUCAGUGUUUUUAAUAUAACUUUUCCUUCUGAGCAAUCACUGAAUUUGAUCUAUGCCUCCAUCCUGAAAGGCCACACUGCGAUUUUUAAUGAGUCUGUAUCAGCCAUCUCUGACAAGAUUACUGCGUGUACUUUGGAGCUUUAUAAACUGAUUGUUCGUGACCUACCCCCUACUCCUUCCAAAUUCCAUUACAUUUUUAACCUGCGGGAUCUAUCCAGGGUCUAUAAUGGACUUGUUCUUACAACUCCGGAGAGGUUUCCAACGGUGACCCAGAUGGUGAGGGUGUGGAGAAAUGAGUGCCUGCGGGUUUUCCAUGACAGGCUGAUUAAUGAAGCAGACAAAGCAUUGGUACAAGAUCAUAUAAAAAACCUGAUUGAAGAGAAUUUCAAAGAUGACUUGGAGCAUGCCAUGAGGGAUCCGAUUCUGUUUGGAGAUUUCAGGACGGCACUGAGUGAGGAGGAACCUCGUAUUUAUGAAGAUAUCCAAGACUAUGAUGCAGCAAAAGCUCUCUUUCAGGAGAUUUUGGAGGAUUAUAAUGAAUUUAAUAUUAAAAUGAAUCUGGUUCUUUUUGAUGAUGCUUUAGAACACUUAAUCCAUGUACAUCGCAUCAUACGGAUGUAUCGUGGGCAUGCCCUGCUCAUUGGAGUGGGAGGCUCAGGAAAACAGUCUCUAGCGAGACUGGCUGCCUAUACAGCUGGAUGUCAGGUAUUUGAGAUCAUCUUAAAUCGAGGCUAUGGAGAAAGUAGUUUCCGAGAAGAUUUGAAAAAUUUGUACCGGAAACUGGGUAUUGAGAACAAGUCAAUGGUCUUCUUGUUCACAGAUUCCCACGUAGCAGAAGAGAGUUUCCUGGAACUUGUCAACAACAUGUUAACUGCAGGAAUGGUGCCAGCCCUUUUUGCAGAUGAUGAAAAAGAUGCCAUACUAAGUCAGAUUGGAGAGGAAGCUAGUAAAGCUGGCGUGGACCCAGCUAAAGAGAGUGUCUGGCAAUAUUUUGUAAGCAGAUGUGCAAGCAACCUUCACAUUGUCCUGGGAAUGUCCCCAGUUGGGGACAGUCUGAGAACGUGGUGCAGAAAUUUCCCAGGUCUUGUCAACAACACUGGUAUCGACUGGUUCUUGCCCUGGCCUACCCAGGCUUUGUAUGCAGUUGCAGAAUCCUUUGUUGGAAAUAACACACGCAUUCCAUCAGAGAGCACCACUUCAGUGAUUGAGCACAUGGUCAUGGUGCAUGAAUCUGUAAUGGAUUUCAGCAAGAGGUUUCUGCAGAAACUGAGACGUAGCAACCACGUCACGCCAAAGAAUUACCUUGAUUUUAUCAAUACUUAUUCAAAAUUGCUGGAGGAGAAAAACCAGUUCAUUUUAGCACAAUGUAAACGGUUGGAGGGGGGCUUAGAUAAACUGAAGGAAGCCAGUGUCCAGCUGGUUGAGCUGAACCAGAAGCUUGCUGAGCAAAGGAUUGUGCUAGCAGAAAAAUCAGCUGCUUGUGAGGCUCUGUUAAAAGAGAUUUCAACAAACACAGAAGUAGCUGAGGUGAAGAAAAAACUGGCCGAAGAAAAAGCUGUGGAGAUGGAGGAACAGAAUAAGAUUAUCGCUACGGAGAAGGCGGCUGCUGAGGCAGCUUUGGCUGAAGUCAUGCCUAUUUUAGAAGCUGCCAAACUGGAACUUCAGAAGCUUGACAAGUCUGAUGUUACUGAGAUCAGGUCCUUUGCAAAACCCCCUAGGCAGGUGCAGACUGUUUUGGAAUGUGUUCUCAUAAUGAGAGGUUACAAAGAAUUAAACUGGAAGACAGCCAAAGGAAUGAUGUCUGAGGCAAAUUUCCUGAAAUCCCUGAUGGAGAUAGACUUUGAUGGAAUCACUCAGAGCCAAGUGAAAGCUGUCCGAGGUCUGUUAAAGAAUCUCAACACCACCUUCAGUGAAAUGGAACAAGUUAGCAGAGCAGGACUGGGAAUGUUAAAGUUUGUUGAAGCAGUGAUGAGCUACUGUGAUGUAGUUAAAGAAGUCAAGCCAAAGAGAGAAAAGGUGGCUAGGCUAGAACGGAACUAUUUCUUAAGUAAGCGGGAACUGGAAAAGAUAAAGACAGAGCUGGCUACCCUUCAGGCUGAGCUUAAAGCUUUGGGGGACAAAUAUCAAGCGGCAAUAACAGAAAAGCAACAGCUGCAAGAAGAAGCAGAGCUUAUGCAGAGAAGAUUAGAGGCUGCUGGCAAGCUCAUCUCUGGCUUGAAAUCUGAGAACGAAAGGUGGACAAAGGAAUUAGAGGACUUUGAAAUACGAAAGGUCUGGUUGCUUGGAGACUGUCUACUCUGUGCUGCCUUUCUGAGCUACGAAGGAGCAUUCAACUGGGAGUUUCGUAAUGAAAUGGUCUAUAAAAUGUGGCAAGAAGAUAUUGUCUCACGAGAGAUUCCUCUCAGUCAACCGUUUAGGUUGGAAAGCCUCCUGACCAACGAGGUGGAGGUUAGCAGGUGGGUUUCCCAAGGAUUGCCUCCAGAUGAGCUCUCUGUCCAGAAUGGCAUCCUGACAACAUAUGGAAGCCGCUUCCCACUCUGUAUUGACCCACAGCAACAGGCAUUACACUGGAUUAAGAAGAAAGAAGAAAAAAAUAACCUGAGGACGGCUUCCUUUAAUGACCCGGAUUUUCUCAAACAGCUGGAGCUGGCCAUAAAGUAUGGAAACCCUUUCUUGUUGCAUGGUGUCGAUGAAUACAUUGAUCCUGUGAUAGACAAUGUCUUAGAGAAGAAUAUCAAAGUUGUACAGGGACGAACAUUCAUUGUCCUGGGUGACAAAGAGGUUGACUAUGACAGUAAUUUUCGAUUGUACCUGAACACCAAAUUAUCAAACCCAAAGUAUUCUCCCUCUGUGUUUGGCAAAGCUGUCGUUAUCAAUUAUACAGUUACACUGAAGGGCCUGGAGGAUCAGUUGCUCAGCGUCAUUACGGGUUUUGAAAGAAGGGAAUUGGAAGAACAGAGAGAAAAUCUCAUCCAGGAGACAAGUGCCAACAAAAACCUGCUGAAAGAUCUGGAAGACUCUCUGCUUCGGGAACUGACGUCUUCCACAGGAAACAUGUUGGACAACUUGGACUUGGUGCAAACCCUGGAAGAGACAAAAACUAAAGCUACUGAGGUGAUUGAAAAACUGAAACUGGCUGAGACAACAGCGGUGGAUAUUGAUCGUCUUCGAGAUGGCUACAGACCCGCUGCCAAGAGAGGGGCCAUUUUAUUCUCCGUUUUAUCAGAAAUGGCAAUUGUCAACAUCAUGUAUCAAUUCUCCCUGGUCUCCUUCUUAGAGGUUUUUGGAUUCUCCCUUCGGAAAUCCAUGCCCAGUCCUAUUCUUCCAAAGAGGUUAAAAACCAUCAUGGAUACACUGACUUUCAACACCUACAACUACGGCUGCACAGGUUUGUUUGAGAAGCACAAGUUACUGUUCUCCUUUAAUAUGACUGUCAGGAUAGAACAAGCUGAAGGCAGAGUUCCACAAGAAGAACUGGAGUUCUUUUUGAAAGGCAAUAUUUCCCUGGAGAAGAGUGCGCGAAAGAAACCGUAUGCUUGGCUUCCAGAUCAAGGCUGGGAAGACCUAAUUCGCUUGUCUGAACUAUUUCCUGAGAAAUUUGAAUCUCUUCCAGAUGAUGUGGCAAAAAAUCCAGAUGUAUGGAAAAAUUGGUACGAUACAGAUGCUCUGGAGCAGCUGCCAUUGCCCAUGUACUACCAGGACAAUCUCACAGCCUUUCAGAAGCUCCUGCUCUUACGGUGUUUCCGGGUGGACCGGCUCUAUCGCGCAGUAACGGACUACGUUACUCUGACAAUGAGCGAGGAGUAUGUGCAGCCCCCAGUGAUCAGCUUUGAAGCGAUCUUUGAGCAGAGCAGUCCUUACUCACCGGUUGUUUUUAUCUUAAGUCCUGGCUCUGAUCCUGUCAGUGACCUCAUGAAACUGGCCGAGAAGAUAGGCUUUGGAGGGGAUAAACUCAAAUUACUCGCCAUGGGACAAGGCCAAGAAAAGAUUGCUUUGCAGAUGCUGGAGAACGUGGUGGUUACUGGAGAGUGGCUCAUGUUGCAGAACUGUCACCUUUUGGUGAAGUGGCUUGUCAGUCUGGAAAAGGCCCUGGAGAACAUUACGGAGCCUCACCCGGACUUUCGCCUCUGGCUCACCACUGACCCGACAGAGGGCUUCCCAAUUGGAAUCCUGCAGAAGUCCCUAAAGGUACCGUGCAGCAGGGAACCUGGGUCAGAAGGGCACGUCCUGCUACUAUUCUACAGCAAAACAGAUCGGCUUUGGGAGGAGCAUGACCAGAAUGUGCAGCGUGUUGACUUGGGCUGUUGUGACGGAACCACCUAAUGGUCUGAAACUGAACAUGAGAGCCACCUACUUCAGAAUGCCCAAGGAAGCCUUAGAGCAGUGCCCACAUCCGGCCUUUAAAUCCUUAGUCUACGUCUUGGCAUUUUUCCACGCUGUGGUUCAGGAGAGAAGGAAGUUUGGGAAGGUUGGCUGGAACGUACCCUAUGAUUUUAAUGAAUCUGAUUUUCAGGUCUGCAUGGAAAUUCUUAACACAUACCUGACAAAAGCUUUUGAACAAAACGAUGAUAAAAUCCCCUGGAGCAGUCUCAAAUACCUUAUUGGGGAGGUCAUGUAUGGUGGGCGCGCAAUUGAUAGCUUCGAUCGUCGCAUUCUGACCGUCUAUAUGGAUGAGUACCUUGGCGAUUUCAUAUUUGACACAUUCCAAACAUUUCAUUUUUAUAAAAAUGACACAGUUGACUAUAAAAUACCACAAGGGGUUGAAAAAGAUCACUUUGUUGAGGCAAUAGAAUCUCUGCCACUUGCUAAUACUCCAGAGGUGUUCGGUCUUCAUGCAAAUGCUGAGAUUGGGUAUUACACACAGGCUGUUCGUGAUAUCUGGUCUCAUCUUCUUGAGCUGCAGCCUCAAACAGGUGAAACUGGUGCGGGAAUUAGUCGCGAUGAAUAUAUUGCAAAUGUUGCUAAGGAUAUAGAAAACAAAAUACCGCAAGUAUUCGAUCUUGACCAGCUACGGAAAACUUUUGGACGAGCGAUAACCCCUACGACUGUGGUGCUGUUGCAGGAACUGGAACGUUUUAACAAGCUGAUCAUUCGAAUGGCAAAGUCAUUGGCUGAACUACAACGUGCCUUGGCGGGGGAAGUCGGGAUGAGCAGUGAACUGGACGAUGUGGCUCGGGCUCUUUUUAAUGGACAGAUUCCUGGCAUCUGGCGGCGCCUGGCCCCCGACACACUCAAAACACUUGGAAACUGGAUUAUUUUCUUCGGAGCUCGGUAUAACCAGUACACCAGCUGGGUUAACGAGGGGGAGCCAAAGGUGAUGUGGCUCUCGGGCCUCCACAUCCCCGAGUCCUACCUGACCGCUCUGGUUCAAGCCACCUGCAGGAAAAACAAGUGGCCCCUGGAUCACUCCACCCUCUACACGGAGGUGACCACAUACACGAGAGCAGAAGACAUCACCGAAGCGUUGACUCAAGGCUGCUUUGUUUCCGGGCUGUUCCUGGAAGGCGCAGCCUGGGACACGGAGCGCGGCUGCCUCACCAAGAGCCAGCCCGGGGUCCUGGUGGUGGAGCUGCCGGUGCUCAGGAUAAUCCCCACGGAAGCGCACCGGCUCAGGCUGCAGAACACCCUCCGGACGCCCGUGUACACAACCUCCAUGAGAAGGAACGCGAUGGGCGUGGGCCUUGUUUUUGAAGCUGAUCUUUACACGACGAAGCACAUUUCCCACUGGGUCCUCCAGGGCGUUUGUCUCACCUUGAAUGCAGAGUGACCAUUUGAAGGUGGCACUAGAUCUUCUCCACAGACUCCACCUCUUUGGUUACGGAAUUAAACUAUGCAAAGAUUCACACCAUGGGUGAGAGAGUGUUUGCUUAGGCACACCUGUGUUAAAUAGUAUGGUACAACCAAACUUGUACUAUCAAUAAACACAUUUGAAGUAAAA